CACACCACAUAGUCAAGUGUCAGAUGAUAUAUAACGUCGUAUAUAGUCAGAGCAUACCUGUCAUACUGUCGAUGUUGCACUGGCUUUUCGAGCGACUUUCCAGUCUCGCCGUGACGUCACGCGCCGUAUCCCGAGCGCACCGCUGAGCGCGUGGUCCUGGUCGCGAGCACAUGGAAGUAUGAGGUCGAGAUUUGUGUCUGUGAGACGCGCGACCGAUCAUCAGGGGUGCAAGAAAAGGGAAUAUAAAAGCAAGAAAAGCAGCCUGAACAGCGCGGACGGGUGGUUUUGCAGACCCUCAUGCAGCCCCGAGUUUUCCUGCAGCUGUCGCACUCGUAGAGAAGACUGAAGAUACUGAACUGAGUGAAAAGGAUGCAAAGGUGGAAGCGGCUGGUGCUGGAUUCGGUUUCACUGAGUCUUAACACACACAGAGAUACCGCAUGUUUUUUAAUACUAUCCACUUCCUCCUUUCUUUGAGAGGACACAGAUACACCCUGAAUGGGCCCCUGUGCUGAUAUAUAUUGUGGUUGGGAAGUACCUAGUGUUACAACCGUCAAGCUGGCCUGCUUAAAGGGACAGUGCUGAUUACUUUCACAUGUAGUACAUUAUCCUUUCAGGGCUUCGAAACAUCCAUAUAGCUGGAUGUCUGGAGUUUCCACCUUAGUAAUGAGUGAGCAGUUUUCUGUGUUUAGUAGUGAAAGGGUCUUUUCUGAAAAAGAGGGUCUUUUCUGUAUUAUGUUUUGCAGGUUCUAUAUAAUCAGGAUGUUGGACCAUUCCAGUCGACAUGUAGAAAGUGUUGAAUGCAACUUCUGAGCUUGCUUGUUGAUUUUAUGGCUCUUGAUUAAAGACACAAAUUGAAUAGUUUUAAAGGUGUCAUAUCUCCUAUAAAGCCCACCUUCACACUCAUGAAAAGAAGAAAAUCCACUAAAAUUUUCACAGCAUGGGAAAUUUAUAAUUGCUUGGGCCAUGAGACUUUUGGACCAGAAUAUAUGUGAUGUCGUAAGCACAAUGAGGGGAAAGAGGAAUGGCUUUUAUUUUGCAAUAGAUUCUAAAACCACAUACAUUUUCCUUACUUUAUGUAUUUUCUGGCACUUUGCACUGCUGAAUGUUUAGAAAAAGCUUGUCUGAAUAAAACUUUCCCUUCUAGCA
Molecule: long non-coding RNA, 1146 nt
Organism: Scatophagus argus
Lineage: Eukaryota; Metazoa; Chordata; Actinopteri; Scatophagidae
Exons: 2
Source: RefSeq, a predicted model, not a curated record